AGAUUGAACGCUGGCGGUAGGCCUAACACAUGCAAGUCGAGCGCGAAAGUGCCUUCGGGCGCGAGUAGAGCGGCGGACGGGUGCGUAACGCGUAGGAAUCUGCCUGGUAGUGGGGGAUAACUCGGGGAAACUCGAGCUAAUACCGCAUACGCCCCAUGGGGGAAAGCGGGGGACCUUCGGGCCUCGCGCUAUCAGAUGAGCCUGCGUCGGAUUAGCUAGUUGGUAGGGUAAUGGCCUACCAAGGCGACGAUCCGUAGCUGGUCUGAGAGGAUGAUCAGCCACACUGGGACUGAGACACGGCCCAGACUCCUACGGGAGCAGCAGUAGGGAAUAUUGGACAAUGGGACGAAAGCCUGAUCCAGCAAUGCCGCGUGAGUGAUGAAGGCCGUUAGGGUUGUAAAGCUACUUUUGGCAGGAAGAAACGGCGUACCCUUAAGUACGGGCGUCGACUGACGGUACCUGCAGAAUAAGCACCGGCUAACGUACGU
Molecule: ribosomal RNA, 488 nt
Filed under: uncultured soil bacterium
Lineage: Bacteria
Description: bacterial SSU rRNA
Rfam family: Bacterial small subunit ribosomal RNA
Source: RNAcentral